UACGUAGGGGGCAAGCGUUGUCCGGAAUCAUUGGGCGUAAAGAGCUCGUAGGCGGUUCGGUAAGUCGGGUGUGAAAACUUUGGGCUCAACCCAAAGCCUGCACUCGAUACUGCUGUGACUUGAGUCCGGUAGGGGAGUGGGGAAUUCCUGGUGUAGCGGUGGAAUGCGCAGAUAUCAGGAGGAACACCCGGUGGCGAAGGCGCCACUCUGGGCCGGUACUGACGCUGAGGAGCGAAAGCGUGGGGAGCGAACAGG
RNAcentral lists this ribosomal RNA (255 nucleotides) under uncultured bacterium. RNAcentral describes it as "partial 16S ribosomal RNA". It matches the Rfam family "Bacterial small subunit ribosomal RNA", at positions 524 to 776 of the family's 1533-position model. The record is from RNAcentral.